Long non-coding RNA from Dama dama (fallow deer), 4744 nucleotides. RefSeq lists it as uncharacterized. Lineage: Eukaryota; Metazoa; Chordata; Mammalia; Artiodactyla; Cervidae. The record is from RefSeq and is a predicted model, not a curated record. The transcript is spliced from 12 exons.
UUGGAGCAAUUAACCACUCUGGGUGUGGGGCAAACGCCUAAGAACCAAAAGGGCUCAAGUAGAGGACCUCUGCUAAAAGGCAGAGAAACAUCUCAGGGAGGAAGAAGUGAAAAGUAGAGGCUUGAAAGGUGAAGGUCUCAGUUAGGAGGAAGGGGCAAAGUCUGUGCCCAACACCUAGCCCUUAAGGCAUCUGCCAAGUUUUCAAGUUGAACAAGGCAGGACGCUAGGAAAGCCAAGCAGACAGACUCUGAAGAACAGACUCAAGUUUGCAUCUGUCUUGCACUGCUGAGGAGACAAGGGUAGAAGUCAAGAUUCACUUUGGGAUGAGUCCAGUCAACUCCCCUGGCGCUGCUGAGAGGUUCACAUUACUUGGUGUCAGAAGGGGUAUUCGAAGGAGCUGAUCCCUAAAGAACUAACGAUCCUGGGAAUCAUGCCUGGUACCCAGUUGAUCCCCUUGUGUUCUCCACUGUUUUGGUCUGAAAACCCCCAAAAGCUGCUUUCUGAUGAGGAUGACUGCAUUGACCGAAUAAGCAAAAGCAUUUUCCUGGGAUCUACAAGAAGAGAAAUCAGUACUAUAUUAGGGGAUCAAGGAGGUGAAGAGACCACCAGACUUCUUGGGACACUGAUCCUUUUCCUUCACGGCCUUGCGUAGCAGAGUCAUCUGCUGCAUGUUCCGUUUUCUUUCCUGGAAACCACCUACACUCAGCCUUCAGCCUGAACCACACGAGAACUUUGAUGUGUGAAGUGGGGAACCAGCAUCCUCACGGACGGGAUAACAGAAGAGGCCAUCAUGGCUUUGGAGACAGGAGAUGGGGGAACAUCACAUCCCAGACGACUUCAAGGUCAACAUGAAGUUGGAUGCAGCCCUGGGAGAAGAUCUGAUUAAGGUCCUGGAGAAUAUGAGGCAGGAAUAUGAGUUUGUAACAGAGAAGAAGCAUCCAGACUUGACUGCUUGGUUUAAAGAGCAGCCGUGAAGAAACAGAAUUUCAAGAAGGAACAUUAAAAAACUCUUGCAACAGCACUCCACCUGAUUGAGCAUCUGCCCAGCUCCGUAAGAGGAAGAGACUGAAGCACUGAGGGGUGAAAUCACUUGUCCAAGGCCGCACAACUGUAACAGACGGAAAUAUGAAAGAAAUACAGAUGCGCCUGGCCCAUCUCGUCACACAUUAUUUUGAAGGAAGCCAGUUCUUUUUAGAAAAUGACAGCAAGGCGGAUUCUUCGCCGCUGAGCCACCAGGAAGGCCUACAUCCAUAGUGUAUGCCUUGUGAAUGAAUUACAUCCUAGAUUUCUGCUUCAUUAUUGGAACUCAACACAUCUUCUCUUAGAAUCAAAUACUCCACCAGAGCUUUCAACAGCGUGGCCAUUGGCUAGUCAGGCCCUCUGUCUGAAAGGAAUGAAAUGCUUCCUUCCUGGGUGGCUGCCUAUGAGCUGGAACAGUACAUGAUGUUCAAGAUAAGAAAACGGAAGUUCCAAGCACGGAGCUUGUGUGGUUUAACCAAAUGAGAUCACCAUGGGCUCCCUCUGCUGCUGUCUUAUCCCCCUGGCACUGUGAGAAGAGCAUUCUCCCAUGGGAUCCUGGACCUCUGACCUUUGAGAGUUACACACACCAUAACCCAGAGCAGAUGAAAUUGGACAUGCAGACUAUUUCCUCCUGUCACAUAGAACAGCCGUCCUCAACCUUUUUGGCACCAGCCAGGGACCAAUAUCGUGAAAGACAAUUUUUCCCCAGACUUGCUGUGUUUGUGUGUGUGUGUGGUGGGGGGGAGGUGGUUUGGGGAUGAUUUGAGCACAUUACAUUUAUUCUGACUUUAUUUCUAAUCUAAUGCUGCCACUAAUCUGGCAGGAGGUAUGGGCCCAUGGCCCGGAGGUUGGAGACCCUGACAUAGAAGAUAGAAGCAGAAUGUGAGUCUAGCUGUGUCCUUCCAGCUGAGUCAUGGCGCAGGCCCCCAGUGUCCACAAGGAGCAGCCCAAAGUGACACCAAUGCCUUCACCAAGGGAGCCAGCUGUGGCCUCGCUCACCACAAAUACUGCACACCACGGAAAACAAAAGGUACACAAUACAGUAAAGAAGCACCCAGCCUAUCUCCUGCAAAAUGCAAGAGCCUGUGCUUCUCCAGAAGGCAGGAGCAAAGCCAAGUGCUUGGAAAGAAAGAAAAAUGAUGAGCCUAGCAACAUGUUAAAAGCCUGUAUCAAAAGGAAAAAAGGCUACCAACUAAAAAUUACCCGGACCGCUGAUGCCUUUUCAUUGAACCCAGGAGAGUGCUGGAUGUACCUCACUGGAAGUGAAAGGCAAGGAGACUUCUCUCUGCUCUGCCCUCCCAUCCACCUGCCAUCAGCAGAUGUUACAGUUUGGGCUGACCAGGCAGAGGCCUAAAGAGGAGAUAGAGACUCCUGUGUAAGUCGCCUGACUACAUGUUCUUUGGCAACCCCACCCCCGCCUCAGCAGGACACCCCUGGUGAUGUUCACACAGCCAGACUUUACUAUCCCUUUGGGAGCUAAAUUGUGAGUGUGCAACCAAGAAAGUGAGUGUGUGUGUGUGUGUGUGUGUGUGUGUGUGUGUGCGUGUCUGUGUCUGUGUCUGUGUGUAUGUGACGGGGUGGGGGUGGUGGGGUGGUGGGUGCCUCUUCAGACGCUGGACACUGCUCCCAUACACCAUAGAAGAAAUAUCAACUUAUUGGUAAUUGUGUGAUAAAUUACAAUUUUUCAAAAUCAUAAUUUUUUCUAUUUCUAGCCAAAGACUCUCUUUCCCCUUAUCUAAACAAUCAGGAUUUGGUUCUCUCAAAUCCCAACCUUCUCUGUCUGCAAAGGUUAUUAUUGGCUUGGUUAAACAAAGUACUUGUUUAUAAUAGAUAUAAUAGAUGAUGGAGUCAUUUUGAAAUUACACAGUUGGUGUAAUAAAACCAGUUAAAACCUUAUUUAAAAAAUGUCACAGUUGGUCAAAUGUAUUAAUGGCAUAUGGUUUAGUUUUCUCUCUUUUUUUUUCCCCAGAACAAUAUGUGCAUUCUCGUUUCACAGAGUGAGUAGAGGAUUAAUGGAGCAAGAUAAACUUUCUCCUGGCUUUUCUUCUAGACAAUCUACACUUUCAUUAACUGCCUCGAGCUUUAUUUAUCUCCUUUCUCCAUCUUCCCCAUGUUGUCUUCCUCUUCCCCCUAGCACCCAAUUAUGGAAUUCCUAAAAUUCUGGGUAAUGUAAGAGAUAAAUAUUAUAUCAUGUAGAGCAUGUUUGAGAGGAAAAAGUUAAUGCAGAAAUUACACACUACAUAAACAGAAUGCCCACAACUGGCAGGCAUAAUUAUUUUUCUCCUGUUGAUAUUACCAACUGUAAUAAUAAAGUUUAAAAUGUGCCUCAAAACAUAAUAUUUCAGCUGCAUGUAGUCAUCAUACCAGUGAAGAAUAUAAUUGCAUUAUUUGUCUCCUCUGAAAGCUCUCACUCAUAACUAUACCUUUCCCAAGAUUUCCAUUUGGAGAUUUGCUUGGUAGUUUCUAGAGAUAAUGUAUCAAUGGAAGUUUUGAAGUCAGGAGUCGCCAGGCUAAGCAGGCUGUACCUGGUCAAGUGGGUCAUCCCAGAAUGGUGCCAGGGCUCUGCCUGGAGCUUGGAGAUGCCAUCUCUAAUCUACAGUUCUGCCAUGAAUUUGUUUUUUGUCAUAAAUGAAGCAUGGGGCUGUGCUUUAAUUUUCCUCACUGCCCUCUGUCAAGUAAUAACCAUAAAUAUUGUCCUGAAUCAUUAAGUCACAACCUGAAACGUGAUCCUGCCCAGCUCCCAAUCAGACGGCCAUCUGGAAGAUGAAAGAAGUCUAUUUGGGUUUCAGAAUGAUCCAGACUCUAAUUUGUAGUAACAGUCUUAACAGGCUGUUUCAGAGACAUUAACCAGUGACUUGUCUCAGAUUCUCAAGGAAGGUCCAUUAUCCACAGUUGGAGGUAUUUGCUUCAAGCAGAACUGUGAAUUAUAACUGUUGGAAAACUACCAGACUCUGUGGCUUUCAAUCAAAUGCCAUGUUCUUCCAUGGACACUAGAUUUCUACCCAAGGGCAAGAAUAUAUGCAUACAGCAGAUGCAUACAUAAUAUAUGUCCAAAUAUUCUCCAUAUCACAAAGAAAGCAAAUAUUUCAAGAGAAGAAAACAAAUUGCAGCUUCCACAAGCAAACAACAAAGCAACAUGAUAGAUGUAUAAUUUUUCCUAUCACCCUGAGGUUACUUUUGUGGAGAAAAAUAAAUCGUACUCUUGUUUUGCUGUAGAAAUAAUCCUGUAAACACAAAGAGAAAGUCAUUAUCGAAAGUCUGGAAACAUAUGCUUAAGCAUGAGUAUACCACUGAUCAAAGGGAUGAAGCGAUUGCAUUGAAUAUCUGAACUUCCUGGUCAUUAGAGAAGCAAGCAAUAUCAAUAGGAGAUGCCUUUCCAUUUCUACUUGACUUUGAAUUGGAAGACCAAAGAAAGAAAACAACAGGGGGAGAUCAUGUUUCUUCUCUUCUCUGAAUUACACAUUGCAUCAUUCUUGACAAGGGAGUGUGUUGAAUUUAACUCUUGAACAUUACAAGUGCACUAAAAAAUAAAAUAACGAUUUUCAUUUAUAAAUGCAUGAAGUAAAUGAUAUUUUAGAUAAAUGAGUGUGUCAGUGGUGAGUUGGAGCAAAACUAAACCAACAUUGACAGCAAAAGAGUGUUUAUCACCUUCAGGGAAGAAAAUUUCAUACCAACUUUCAGAAAUCUUUUUUAUUUGCCUCAAAAUUUGUUCAGCAUCUCUCAC